UUAGGAUUUUAUUUAGGGUUUAGGAUUUGAUUAGGAUUUGAUUUAGGAUUUAGGAUUUAGUUAGAAUUUGAUUUAAGGUUUGUUUAGGAUUUUAUUUAGGGUUUAGGAUUUUAUUAGGAUUUAAAAUUUAAUUAGGUUUGGCCUUAAGUUUGAAUGAAAUUCAAUAAGAUUUUAACUAGAAUUAAAUUAAGAUUGAAUUGAGAUGUAUUUGAGUGAUAUUUGUGAUCUUUCUAAUAUUUCUUUAAGAAUUCUUAUUAUUUGUUUGAAAUCUCUUGAGGUUUUUUUUUAAUUUGAUUGAAACUUGGUUAGCAUUAUUAUGAUUUAAUUAGAGUUUAAUUAGUAUUCUAUUAGAAUCAAGAUUUUUUUGUUGAAAUUUCCAUUCUUCCUUCUACAAUGAGGUACUCGAA
RNAcentral lists this long non-coding RNA (407 nucleotides) under Physcomitrium patens. RNAcentral describes it as "long non-coding RNA (PPAT_LNC014276)". Lineage: Eukaryota; Viridiplantae; Streptophyta; Bryopsida; Funariales; Funariaceae. The record is from RNAcentral.